Molecule: transfer RNA, 71 nt
Filed under: Retropinna semoni (Australian smelt)
Lineage: Eukaryota; Metazoa; Chordata; Actinopteri; Osmeriformes; Retropinnidae
Description: tRNA-Thr
Rfam family: tRNA
About the family: Transfer RNA (tRNA) molecules are approximately 80 nucleotides in length.
Source: RNAcentral
GCACCAGUAGCUUAAUUUAGAGCGCCGGCCUUGUAAGCCGGAGGCUGGAGGUUAAACUCCUCCCUUGUGCU